CAGUGCUCAAUGAAAAUAAACAAAGAAUUUCAGUAAAGCUUGUGUACAUUGCCUCUGUUGAAGGAAUAGAAAAAGAAUGGGCUUGGCUUUCUCUUGAAGUCAUUGGCAUGACACCACGUGGCCUUGGUUAAAAGCUGAAGCCGAAAGAGGAGUUUCGAUACACAAAGGGCAGAAUUUGGUUGCUUGAUGGUGACUAUGCCAGCCAAAUGGAAACGGAAGCAGACCAAGAUGAGAUUAGUGUUUGGUGUCAGACGAUGCAAGCCACCCACGAUCCUUCAAAGUGGACGGGAGAUCGUCGCCAACCAACAAUCAAUCAGGGGAUGGCCGUUUCCGAAUCCAAAACCUCCACCAAAAUUAGAUACUGUGAUCUCAAGUUCGGAUUAUUACCUCAUAUGGAUGAUGGACAACGAAAACAUCUCUCCCUCCGACUUUCUAGUUAACAUUAAGCGCUUUCAAUACAUCAGAACCUCAGGCUCUUUUUUAUGUCAACAUUACACGCGCCAUUCCUCGAAAUGUUAUCACCGCUGGACUUCCAAGGAUGUGUGGAUCCUUUUCGACCUUUUUGACCAAAGUGUCGCCAUUUUUGGUCAAAAGUGCCACCUUUGUGGAUCAGAAAGUUCAUUCCUUCAGCCAAAUAAAUACUCCAAAGAGAAAUGGGAGAAAAUCUGCCUCCAAGCUCUUUUAGGUGCCAACAAUGAAGUAACCCAAAGCUCUAACCCGGUCCUGGACGAGGAUGACUUGAAAGAUCUGAACUCACUUUGCUCAAGGAGACCGCAUGUAAUGGCUCUAUGUGAGAAAUGCCACUUGCUUGAAGGUCCUUGUUGGAUUCCGCACAAGUUCUCAGAUUGUCAAAGGUGCCAAAACAGUGCGGCCAAGUGUUGUUUUAACCCUUCCAAGUAUUUACGAAGUGCCUUGAUUAUUUCGGUCCAUAAUUUGACCAAGGCCAAGCCCUCCAAACCCGAAAGAAAGUACUUCACCUUCACCAAUCAACCCAAGAUUAUGACUUGAAGGUCCUGUUCAUUAGACACAUGCAUUUUAUUCGUCUCUUACUUCUUUCCAACCAAUUCGACUCGGCAUUGAGUCAUACUUCUGACGAGGAUACGAGCCCAUUAUGAGGAAUCAGCUGUACUCAGGUUAACUUUUGAGGCGUCUUCUUUGAAUCGCCGGUUCAACAACGACGUGAACAAGGACCAUUGGAUCAACCUUGACCUGAAGACCUUACAAGGACUCGGUUCGUGAUUCAUAUUCUAAUCCGAGAAUGCCACAAGUUGGUUUUUGCCAGAUCAUGGUAGUGUCUCAUUUUGUGAGCUAGUGAUGGAUGGAGUUGGAUUUUAAUCCGCGCCCAACUCUUAAUUGAGCACCCAAGCCCAACGAGGAUAAUCAAGCUUUAGCCCCGAAUUAUGAUUGUAUUCAACCACACCAACACCUUCAACACUAAUGAUGUACAGUCAGUACUACGAGGACAAUUCCAAUAAAAACCGCGGAAUCGAUUUGAUUUUUGAUUUUUCAGGGUGAAUACAUGGUUGGGUAAUGGUAAUAUACAUUAUGAAUCUCAAGUUGACGCUAAUUGGGCCCCAUUCUCGAUUGAACAGAUAGGUUCUGGUAAUUUGGAAGCUGUCUUCUUGCGUCAGUUACCAUCUUUUGAGCUCCCUGACAUGAGACACAAUUUGAGUCGGCGGGGAUCAAUGGGAACAAAGAUGAACAACAUGUCAGCCCAAACCAUCAACCCCAACCAACCCAACCAAUCCAGCUCUGCCAAAGCGGCACAGAUGCCCGAACUGUUUAUUAAUAUGAUCAUGCAAAUUUUUGUCUCACUCUCUUUUGCCAAAGCUCCUGAAACGUUCAAUGAGGUCAUGAGGUUCAAAAAAUACCCAACUGGAGUGCACUUCAUUAUGAAUAUAGUACAGAGUGCGUUAC
Tigriopus californicus is the source of this 1917-nucleotide RNA transcript. RefSeq lists it as uncharacterized. The transcript has 5 exons. The record is from RefSeq and is a predicted model, not a curated record. NCBI's taxonomy places the organism in Eukaryota, Metazoa, Arthropoda, Copepoda, Harpacticoida, Harpacticidae.